GGUAAAGCUACUAAGGGCAUACGGUGAAUGCCUUGGUACAUGGAGGCGAUGAAGGACGUGGUAAGCUGCGAUAAGCCUCGGUGAGGUGCAAACAACCUUAGAUCCGAGGAUUUCCGAAUGGGGCAACCCAUCCCGGGUAAUACCGGGAUACACCCAUCUGAAUACAUAGGAUGGGAUGAGUCAACGGGGUGAAUUGACACAUCUUAGUAACCCCAGGAAAAGAAAACAAAAGUGAUUUCCUAAGUAGCGGCGAGCGAACGGGAAAGAGCCCAAACCAUAAUCGUGUUAAAGCCCGCAGGCGUUGCGGUUAUGGGGUUGUGAGGUAGUAUCUGAGUUGGUUGCGGACGACUCGGGGAGUCAAAAAAUCUGCGAUUAGCCAAACGGAAUGGAAAGUCCGACCAUAGAAGGUGAUAGUCCUGUAGGCGAAAAUCAAUGAUCUUCCUGGAUACUAUUCUCAAGUAACACGGUACACGUGAAAUUCCGUGUGAAACUGCCAGGACCAUCUGGUAAGGCUAAAUACUCCCAUGUGACCGAUAGUGAACUAGUACCGUGAGGGAAAGGUGAAAAGUACUCCUAACGGAGAGUG
RNAcentral lists this ribosomal RNA (586 nucleotides) under Fidelibacterota bacterium. Its description in RNAcentral is "partial 23S ribosomal RNA". It matches the Rfam family "Bacterial large subunit ribosomal RNA", at positions 1 to 540 of the family's 2925-position model. The record is from RNAcentral. Lineage: Bacteria; Pseudomonadati; Fidelibacterota.